UGAAGAUGCUGUAAAAGACGAUUGGCUCCAGGAAGUGCUUUAGCGUCUUUCCACCUAAAAUAUAAGAAGGGGGAUGAAGAAAACCAGGACAAAUUCAAAACAUUAAAAAAGGGCUGCCGUUUUAAGAUGAUGGUUUGCAUGUUUGGGUACUUCAAAGGUAACUGUCAGCAAUUUUUCAUUUUUAAUUUUCUAAUCCUAUGACUAUAAAAUAGUAGCAAUAUAUGAAGUACUAGUAGUAAUUAAUAGUCCCAUUGUCCAUCUCUUUUGAGUUUGCAUCAUAUGACUUUAAAAACUCUUGUAUAUUGAGUUUUGUGUGUAUUGUUAAUUCAAAGAGAGUUUUGUGUGUAUUGUUAAUUCAAAGGGACAUGGGGAGUAACUUGUUGUUGGAAAAUAGGACAAGUGGAUAGAAGAAAAUAAAAGGUUAAAAUGAGGAGAAAAUAAGUUUGUGCAUUUUGCAUAAGACUAAGAGAACAAAAAUAAGUCUAUCACCAAAAAGAAAAACACAAAAACGGUGCAUAAUAAAUGGGACAUACUAAGAUGAAAGUAUGUGUAAUUUCACAGGACAAAGGGAGUAUUAUUAUGGAGACAAGACCAGAAAUACUAAGAAUGGAUCAGAGUUUUUUAAAAUCUCAAGUUAGGCAAAUACAAGCAUUGGUCCCAUUCGAAAGCUGCCAACCAAAAUGAGUUGGCCUUUCGUACUGUAAAUGAAUACUAGAAAAGCUCGAUAAGCCAAUUUCCACAAGAGCAAAGUGCAGUUUUGGCAUAGGUGGUAAGGGAUGCCAGAAUUGUCCAAUAACAAGCAGGUGAAAAUAAAUAUAGAAGUACAUGCAUACAUUAUUUAAGAGGAAACAGUCAUGCUUUUUCUCAUGCAUAUUCACGGAACCCUGAAUUUUCAACUAAAUUCUGCUAGUGAUCACUUAUAAUUCUACUUUAAUCAUCUUCUCUUCGCGCAUAAUUCUAUUGAUCGAUAAAAAGUAACUGAUUUUUACAGAACAUUAAAGAACAUUGACUUAUAUGAAUUUAAUUUUCAUGAUUUUCAAACAUAGUAAAAAAAGAAAAAAACGAUCGACAUAAUUUAAACAUGAAUUGAUGAAAAAUAGUCAUAAAAAAACUCACUUGGCACGAUAUAUAGGAAUAAUUUCAGCGAUAAAUUGAUCAGGAGUCAGGGGAAGCUCAUAAUUUUGAACAAUGGCGAUUGCUGAUUCUUUCUGAGUUUUUCCGACUCUAGCAUGCUCUUUAUCAGUAAUCAAAACCUUUCCAUAACUCGCCAAAAAAUCUUUCAA
Long non-coding RNA from Amaranthus tricolor (Joseph's coat), 1283 nucleotides. RefSeq lists it as uncharacterized. NCBI's taxonomy places the organism in Eukaryota, Viridiplantae, Streptophyta, Magnoliopsida, Caryophyllales, Amaranthaceae. The transcript is spliced from 2 exons. The record is from RefSeq and is a predicted model, not a curated record.